UACGGGGGGGGCAAGCGUUGUUCGGAAUUACUGGGCGUAAAGGGUGUGUAGGUGGCGCCGUAAGUGGGGUGUGAAAUUUCGGAGCUUAACUCCGAAACUGCAUUCCAUACUGCGGUGCUUGAGGACUGGAGAGGAGACUGGAAUUUACGGUGUAGCAGUGAAAUGCGUAGAUAUCGGAAGGAAGACCAGUGGCGAAGGCGGGUCUCUGGACAGUUCCUGACACUGAGACACGAAGGCCAGGGGAGCAAACGGG
RNAcentral lists this ribosomal RNA (253 nucleotides) under uncultured bacterium. RNAcentral's name for it is "partial 16S ribosomal RNA". It matches the Rfam family "Bacterial small subunit ribosomal RNA", at positions 524 to 776 of the family's 1533-position model. The record is from RNAcentral.